CACAGAAAGAAAUACAAGGGUCCCCUUCUAGUCCUGGGCUUCCUUGAUGGCUUAGAUGGCAAAGAAUCUGCCUGCAAUGCAGGAGACCUGGCUUCAAUCCCUGGAUGCUUUGACUCUGGGUGCCUUGCUGACCCUAGAGGGUCUGUCCCUCCCAGGGCUGCCAAGUCCUGGAGGCAGUAAACUCGGUAAAGGCAGGAGCAUAACCUUCAUACACAAACUAACCAGCCCAGACAUGGACACCAUGUAUCCUCUAUCUGGCUCUCACACUCUGGACUGCUUUUCACCCACCCUGCUCACCCUGGCACCGGACAACCAGAGACAGCCCUCACACCCCAGAGACCUCUGAAAUGAUCCAAACCAGCCAGCCCCAGCCUGCUUACCUUGCUCCUCCUGUUCCUCCCCACAGAAACCACAACAAAGGUUAUUAUUGUCAUGUUCUCCUCCAAUUGCCUCUGCCUCCUGACUAAUCCCACUGCUCCCCCCACGGCAUCCAUGGUAUGCUGUGCCGUCUCGGGAAAUGAAACAGACUUUGUGCAUGAAACAA
Bos taurus (domestic cattle) is the source of this 544-nucleotide long non-coding RNA. The record is from Ensembl. Lineage: Eukaryota; Metazoa; Chordata; Mammalia; Artiodactyla; Bovidae.